Molecule: ribosomal RNA, 406 nt
Filed under: uncultured bacterium
Lineage: Bacteria
Description: bacterial SSU rRNA
Rfam family: Bacterial small subunit ribosomal RNA
Source: RNAcentral
GGGCCCGCACAAGCGGUGGAGCAUGUGGUUUAAUUCGACGCAACGCGAAGAACCUUACCUACACUUGACAUCCUCGGAACUUUCUAGAGAUAGAUUGGUGCCUUCGGGAACCGAGUGACAGGUGCUGCAUGGCUGUCGUCAGCUCGUGUCGUGAGAUGUUGGGUUAAGUCCCGUAACGAGCGCAACCCUCGUCCUAUGUUGCCAGCACGUAAUGGUGGGAACUCAUGGGAUACUGCCGGGGUCAACUCGGAGGAAGGUGGGGAUGACGUCAAAUCAUCAUGCCCCUUAUGUCUUGGGCUUCACGCAUGCUACAAUGGCCGGUACAGAGGGCUGCAAUACCGCAAGGUGGAGCGAAUCCCAAAAAGCCGGUCUCAGUUCGGAUUGAGGUCUGCAACUCGACCUCAUG